RNAcentral lists this transfer-messenger RNA (94 nucleotides) under Actinomycetota bacterium. RNAcentral describes it as "Actinobacteria bacterium partial transfer-messenger RNA". It matches the Rfam family "transfer-messenger RNA", at positions 1 to 94 of the family's 374-position model. Rfam says of the family: Bacterial tmRNA, also known as 10Sa RNA or SsrA, is named for its dual tRNA and mRNA-like properties. Its role is to liberate the mRNA from a stalled ribosome. Lineage: Bacteria; Bacillati; Actinomycetota. The record is from RNAcentral.
GGGGGUGAACGGUUUCGACUUUGGUAGUCGAAAUGGGAGAAGCGAGCCGAGAAUGUUGGUCAUCUCGUAAACGUCCAGCAAAAACAAUAAGUGC